This 231-nucleotide long non-coding RNA is filed under the name Salvia miltiorrhiza (redroot sage). RNAcentral describes it as "long non-coding RNA (SMIL_LNC014179)". The record is from RNAcentral. Lineage: Eukaryota; Viridiplantae; Streptophyta; Magnoliopsida; Lamiales; Lamiaceae.
AAAAAAUAUAAUAUUCAAAUUAUAUAAUUUAUAAAAUUUUCUGAAAUAAAAACAUAAAAAUAAGGAAACAAUAUCAUGCAAAAUAAGAAAACAAAAUGGAAGAAAAAAAGGAAAUAAAAUAGACGGAAAAAAAAGGAAACAUAACAACUAAUUUCGGAUAUAAUAUAUAUGAAAAAAAUCAAGGGAUAAAACAGUAAAAACACUAAACCUCUAAAAACUGGUCCACUCUCU